Molecule: long non-coding RNA, 663 nt
Organism: Osmerus eperlanus (European smelt)
Lineage: Eukaryota; Metazoa; Chordata; Actinopteri; Osmeriformes; Osmeridae
Exons: 3
Source: RefSeq, a predicted model, not a curated record
GGUAAAGUAUCCAAGCUACCUUUGCCACAGUUCCUACGGUGUCUCUGAAAGGACAUACACCGAUCUGUCGGGCACUAAUUCCAAAAGUCGCUCUUUUCCAUUUUGCCCACCUUGGUGCAGCUGUUCCAAACGUAGCCUAUAUCUCAACCCAUUCAAGGAAUCUUGCGCAAAAACUCUUGCUGCGACGAAUUAGUCUACUUUUGUCACUGGCAGCGGCAGGUGUAAGAGUCGUCUCCCUAGCAACUAUAACUCAAAAGACACAGCACAGGCACAGGACAAUCUUUCGGCGCCCAUGCAGUUGCCGUCAACAUCACACAAUCAUACUACUGUAUGGAGUAUGGGUAAGGUUUGAGAUAACGCAAAUACACAACGAUGGGCAUACAUACCAUGCGUAGAUUAAGUUAACAUUCGUGUGCAUAUAUAUUACAGAACCGACCAAAAGUGUGUAUUUGGCGCAAGGAAGAUUCAAGCAUACUGGCGGUGUUACCAAGACAGGCGACUAUUUCAACUACUGUUGGAGACUGUGCGUGCUGCUGAGAACUGCCUGACACCUGCUGUUCUCCGCCUACUUAGCCCGAUAGAAGCGGAUCUGUUAAAAGAUCCGAGUAUGCAUUGCGAGGUCAGAUUCAGAUUUUCAGGUUCCAAGUUCCCUCCAGUGAUAGU